CCAAAGGCUCUUUUAAGAGCCAUUCAUAUCUUUUAAAAGAGCAGA
Molecule: non-coding RNA, 45 nt
Organism: Takifugu rubripes (torafugu)
Lineage: Eukaryota; Metazoa; Chordata; Actinopteri; Tetraodontiformes; Tetraodontidae
Source: Rfam